This 432-nucleotide ribosomal RNA is filed under the name uncultured bacterium. RNAcentral describes it as "bacterial SSU rRNA". It matches the Rfam family "Bacterial small subunit ribosomal RNA", at positions 355 to 778 of the family's 1533-position model. The record is from RNAcentral.
UGGGGAAUAUUGGGCAAUGGGCGAAAGCCUGACCCAGCGACGCCGCGUGGGUGAUGAAGGCCUUCGGGUUGUAAAACCCUUUCGUGCGGAAAGAAUAGUCCUGUAGCGAAUAACUACGGGAUUUGACGGUACCGCAGGAAGAAGCACCGGCUAACUCCGUGCCAGCAGCCGCGGUAAUACGGAGGGUGCAAGCGUUGUUCGGAAUUAUUGGGCGUAAAGGGCGCGUAGGUGGUUGUGAUAGUCAGAUGUGAAAUCCUUCGGCUCAACCGAAGAACUGCAUCUGAAACUUCAUAGCUCGAGUACAGGAGAGGGAGACGGAAUUCCCGGUGUAGAGGUGAAAUUCGUAGAUAUCGGGAGGAACACCAGUGGCGAAGGCGGUUUCCUGGCCUGAUACUGACGCUGAGGCGCGAAAGCGUGGGGAGCAAACAGGAU